Pelobates cultripes (western spadefoot toad) is the source of this 256-nucleotide non-coding RNA. The record is from the annotation of a GenBank genome assembly. NCBI's taxonomy places the organism in Eukaryota, Metazoa, Chordata, Amphibia, Anura, Pelobatidae.
CUCGUUUUCCUGGCACUAUAGUGCCCUGAGGGUGCCCCCACCCUCAGGGACCCCCUCCCGCCCGGCUCUGGAAGGGGGAAAGGGGUAAAAACUUACCUUUUUCCAGCGCUGGGCGGAGAGCUCUCCUCCCCCUCUCCGCCUCCGUUACGCCCCGCCGGCUGAAUGCGCACGCGCGGCAAGAGCUGCGCGCGCAUUCAGCCCGUCGCAUAGGAAAGCAUUUACAAUGCUUUCCUAUGGACGCUUGCGUGCUCUCACU